AUUGAACGCUGGCGGCAGGCCUAACACAUGCAAGUCGAACGAGUGGCGGACGUGUGGGUAAUGGCUUGGAAACCGCCUGAUUGAGGGGGAUAAAUACUGGAAACGGUAGCUGAUACCGGAUAACAUCGGAUGUGCCCCGAUGGGAUGAGCGAGUAGGUGGGGUAAAGGCUCACCGAGGCGACGAUGCCUAGCUGGUCUGAGAGGAUGACCGGCCACACUGGAACUGAGACACGGUCCAGACUCCUACGGGAGGCAGCAGUGGGGAAUAUUGCACAAUGGGCGAAAGUCUGAUGCAGCCAUGCCGCGUGAAUGAAGAAGGCCGUCGGGUUGUAAAGUACUGUCAGCGGGGAGGCGUUACCCGAAGAAGAAGCAACGGCUAACUCCGUGCCAGCAGCCGCGGUAAUAC
Molecule: ribosomal RNA, 406 nt
Filed under: uncultured bacterium
Lineage: Bacteria
Description: partial 16S ribosomal RNA
Rfam family: Bacterial small subunit ribosomal RNA
Source: RNAcentral